This 396-nucleotide ribosomal RNA is filed under the name uncultured bacterium. RNAcentral's name for it is "bacterial SSU rRNA". It matches the Rfam family "Bacterial small subunit ribosomal RNA", at positions 28 to 424 of the family's 1533-position model. The record is from RNAcentral.
GAUGAACGCUGGCGGCGUGCUUAACACAUGCAAGUCGAACGGUGAAGGAGGAGCUUGCUCUUCUGGAUCAGUGGCGAACGGGUGAGUAACACGUGAGCAAUCUGCCCUUGACUCUGGGAUAACAGUUGGAAACAGCUGCUAAUACCGGAUACGAGACGUGACCGCAUGGUCAACGUCUGGAAAGAACUUCGGUCAAGGAUGAGCUCACGGCCUAUCAGCUAGUUGGUGAGGUAAUGGCUCACCAAGGCGACGACGGGUAGCCGGCCUGAGAGGGUGACCGGCCACACUGGGACUGAGACACGGCCCAGACUCCUACGGGAGGCAGCAGUGGGGAAUAUUGCACAAUGGGCGAAAGCCUGAUGCAGCAACGCCGCGUGAGGGACGACGGCCUCGGUU